GUUCUUUGAUAUGCUGAAUCUAACCAUGUAUUUAGAUUUUGGAUAUUGGACCAUAAUAGGUAAAUGUCCAAUUUAAAAUUUUUAGGUUUUUAAGUUUAAGUUCUUAGACCACAUUCAUUCUGUGUCAGAAACCUAUGUUGUGUCAACUAUUUAAUCACAAUCCGAAUUCAGAGCUGUAUCAAGCUUUAAUGUUGUGUCCAUACUAGCCCCAAC
RNAcentral lists this long non-coding RNA (213 nucleotides) under Mytilus galloprovincialis (Mediterranean mussel). Lineage: Eukaryota; Metazoa; Mollusca; Bivalvia; Mytilida; Mytilidae. The record is from RNAcentral.